GACGAACGCUGGCGGCGUGCUUAACACAUGCAAGUCGAACGGAAAGGCCCUGCUUGCAGGGUGCUCGAGUGGCGAACGGGUGAGUAACACGUGGGUGAUCUGCCCCUUACUUUGGGAUAAGCCUGGGAAACUGGGUCUAAUACUGGAUAGGACCAUGCUGUAGGUGGUGUGGUGGAAAGAUUAGUUUCGGUAAGGGAUGAGCUCGCGGCCUAUCAGCUUGUUGGUGGGGUAAUGGCCUACCAAGGCGUCGACGGGUAGCCGGCCUGAGAGGGUGGACGGCCACAUUGGGACUGAGAGACGGCCCAGACUCCUACGGGAGGCAGCAGUGGGGAAUAUUGCACAACGGGCGCAAGCCUGAUGCAGCGACGCCGCGUGGGGGAUGACGGCCUUCGGGUUGUAAACUCCUUUCAGCCAUGACGAAGCCCUUGUGGUGACGGUAGUGGUAGAAGAAGCACCGGCUAACUACGUG
RNAcentral lists this ribosomal RNA (469 nucleotides) under uncultured bacterium. RNAcentral describes it as "partial 16S ribosomal RNA". It matches the Rfam family "Bacterial small subunit ribosomal RNA", at positions 28 to 507 of the family's 1533-position model. The record is from RNAcentral.